RNAcentral lists this long non-coding RNA (1259 nucleotides) under Homo sapiens (human). Its description in RNAcentral is "HSALNT0080168". Lineage: Eukaryota; Metazoa; Chordata; Mammalia; Primates; Hominidae. The record is from RNAcentral.
CCUAUAAAGCCAAGUACACCAAGUAGUCUUCAAAGAGGAAGUGGGAGAUGAGAUUGUGAGUCAAAUAAGCAAAAAUCUUAACACCAAAGAAACAAACAGUGUAAAAACUAGCUUCCUCAACUGAAGACUGUAUAACUUGAAAUACUAGGUGAUAUGUUUGGGUCCUCAAAAUUCCACAAAAUAAACAUGGUACAUAUUCUAGAACUAUAACUUUAUUCAAUGGCAAUUGACUUGAAAUGUUUUUAGGUGAACACAAAUGUAUUAUGGAGUAGAAUGUAAAUGUGUGGAAUACUUUUCAAAUGAUAGAUGCAAUUGUGUUCUUUGAAAUUAUCUAGAAAUAUGAAAUAAUUGUCCACAAAUAAUAAGAGUAGUUUAUCAGAAAAAUUGCAAAUUAUUUACCAAAACAAAAACACACAGAAUUGAGUCUGGCAGUAGAAUAAAUAUAUUUUUUAAAUAAGAUAAAGAACAGAAAAAUAACUGGAUAAGUAGGUCAUUGAAGCCAUUUUUAUCUCCUGGCACACUGCUACCUACUCCCUAAAUUGCAUUAGAUUUCAUAUAGUAGAAAUAUUAAAAGUUGUUUAAGGUUCCUAAGAAGAAACUACAACACGAAGAUUAAUCUGAUACAAAUAUGCAGGAUGGAAUAACAGGAAGUGGGAGUGGGAGGGAGGGGUGUCUUGGGAGCACUACAGUAAGAGGAUUAUUGCAGGAGUCCAAACUUCCACUGAUGAAGACAUGGAUUGAAAUGAAGCGCGUAUGUGCUCACAGUUAACAACAACAACAAGAAAAGGCUGGAGAAAACAGCGGUAAGAGCACUAUGAGAUAAAUAUGAAGACUAAAUAUACAGUUAACAACAACAACAACAAGAAAAGGCUGGAGAAAACAGAGAUUUCACCUGUGUCUAUGCCUGGACGCCAGAGGUGGGGGCAAGAAGCAGGCCUCGCUGGUGUGGCUUGGCUCUGGCAAGAAGACGGCUGCUUGGACAGGUGAUGCUGGUCAUUCCCAGACUAGCAGCUCAUUAGGAGAAAGAGGGAGAGACAGAUGGGCCCCACUGGUCAGCUCUGGUUGCUGAAUUUAAUGUAUUCACUGGUGAAAAAGUAACAGUGGCCUAACAGUUAACACAUAGGCCAAGAAUACGAGACUGUCAGACUGCACGAUGCUAUUAAUUUUGAAAGUGGGAGCAUAAUUGGCUACCACUUACCACCUGUGGUUGAUGUUAGUGCUUCAAUAAAGGAGAAGAAAGAUAAUCUGAGGCUAGUGAU